RNAcentral lists this ribosomal RNA (497 nucleotides) under uncultured bacterium. RNAcentral describes it as "partial 16S ribosomal RNA". It matches the Rfam family "Bacterial small subunit ribosomal RNA", at positions 28 to 507 of the family's 1533-position model. The record is from RNAcentral.
GAUGAACGCUGGCGGCGUGCCUAAUACAUGCAAGUCGAGCGAACGGACGAGAAGCUUGCUUCUCUGAUGUUAGCGGCGGACGGGUGAGUAACACGUGGAUAACCUACCUAUAAGACUGGGAUAACUUCGGGAAACCGGAGCUAAUCCCGGAUAAUAUUUUGAACCGCAUGGUUCAAAAGUGAAAGACGGUCUUGCUGUCACUUAUAGAUGGAUCCGAGCUGCAUUAGCUAGUUGGUAAGGUAACGGCUUACCAAGGGAACGAUGCAUAGCCGACCUGGGAGGGUGAUCGGCCACACUGGAACUGAGACACGGUCCAGACUCCUACGGGAGGCAGCAGUAGGGAAUCUUCCGCAAUGGGCGAAAGCCUGACGGAGCAACGCCGCGUGAGUGAUGAAGGUCUUCGGAUCGUAAAACUCUGUUAUUAGGGAAGAACAUAUGUGUAAGUAACUGUGCACAUCUUGACGGUACCUAAUCAGAAAGCCACGGCUAACUACGUG